CCCGGGCCUUGUACACACCGCCCGUCGCACCACGAAAGUCGGUAACACCCGAAGCCAGUGGCCCAACCCUUUGGGAGGGAGCUGUCGAAGGUGGGAUCAGCGAUUGGGGUG
Molecule: ribosomal RNA, 111 nt
Filed under: uncultured bacterium
Lineage: Bacteria
Description: partial 16S ribosomal RNA
Rfam family: Bacterial small subunit ribosomal RNA
Source: RNAcentral